UGCCUAACAGCUAGCCCACCCAAACAAUUUCAACAAACCCCUGUUAAUAACCCCUAAAUACCCCAGUAUUUAUUUUAAACAAACCAUUUUUCCCCCCUAGUAUAGGCGAUAGAAAAGGGCCCACGGCGCAAUAGAGAAAGUACCGCAAGGGAAUGCUGAAAGAGAAGUGAAACAACCCAGUAAAGCCUAAAAAAGCAGAGAUCUAAACUCGUACCUUUUGCAUCAUGAUUUAGCAAGUGUAACCCAAGCAAAGCGUACUUUAGUUUGACGUCCCGAAACUAGGUGAGCUACUCCAAGACAGCCUAUCAAUAGGGCGUACCCGUCUCUGUGGCAAAAGAGUGGGGAGAGCUUUGAGUAGAGGUGACAAACCUACCGAACCUAGUUAUAGCUGGUUGUCCAAGAAAUGAAUAGAAGUUCAGCCUUUCAGCUUCUCUUUUCACCUUAGUCUGACCCCUAUUGAUGCAUUAAAGAAACCGAAAGAGUUAGUCAAAGGGGGUACAGCCCCUUUGAAUCAAGACACAACUUUACCAGGAGGGUAAAGAUCAUAAUAAUUAAAGCUAAAUGUUCUGGUGGGCCUAAAAGCAGCCAUCCCCUUAGAAAGCGUUAAAGCUCAGACAUGCGACCAUCCUUCUUAUCCUGAUCACUUAAUCUUACCCCCCUAACCGUACUGGACCAUCCCAUGCCAACAUGGGAGUGACUAUGCUGAAAUGAGUAAUAAGAGAGCUACCGGCUCUCUCCCUGCACACGUGUAUAUCGGAACGGACAACCCACCGAACCUUAACGGCCCCAAAUAAAGAGGGCAGUGGAUGUUAGACCAAAAAACUAGAAAAAUAUCCAGAAACCAACCGUUAAACCCACACAGGUGUGCCCCCAGGGAAAGACUAAAAGAA
RNAcentral lists this ribosomal RNA (890 nucleotides) under Hexagrammos stelleri (whitespotted greenling). RNAcentral's name for it is "partial 16S rRNA". The stretch from base 191 to 890 matches the Rfam family "Bacterial large subunit ribosomal RNA", at positions 566 to 1698 of the family's 2925-position model. Lineage: Eukaryota; Metazoa; Chordata; Actinopteri; Perciformes; Hexagrammidae. The record is from RNAcentral.